This 746-nucleotide ribosomal RNA is filed under the name Klebsiella oxytoca. Its description in RNAcentral is "bacterial SSU rRNA". It matches the Rfam family "Bacterial small subunit ribosomal RNA", at positions 48 to 787 of the family's 1533-position model. Lineage: Bacteria; Pseudomonadati; Pseudomonadota; Gammaproteobacteria; Enterobacterales; Enterobacteriaceae. The record is from RNAcentral.
CUAACACAUGCAGUCGACGGUAGCACAGAGAGCUUGCUCUCGGGUGACGAGUGGCGGACGGGUGAGUAAUGUCUGGGAAACUGCCUGAUGGAGGGGGAUAACUACUGGAAACGGUAGCUAAUACCGCAUAACGUCGCAAGACCAAAGAGGGGGACCUUCGGGCCUCUUGCCAUCAGAUGUGCCCAGAUGGGAUUAGCUAGUAGGUGGGGUAACGGCUCACCUAGGCGACGAUCCCUAGCUGGUCUGAGAGGAUGACCAGCCACACUGGAACUGAGACACGGUCCAGACUCCUACGGGAGGCAGCAGUGGGGAAUAUUGCACAAUGGGCGCAAGCCUGAUGCAGCCAUGCCGCGUGUAUGAAGAAGGCCUUCGGGUUGUAAAGUACUUUCAGCGGGGAGGAAGGUGUUGAGGUUAAUAACCUCAGCAAUUGACGUUACCCGCAGAAGAAGCACCGGCUAACUCCGUGCCAGCAGCCGCGGUAAUACGGAGGGUGCAAGCGUUAAUCGGAAUUACUGGGCGUAAAGCGCACGCAGGCGGUCUGUCAAGUCGGAUGUGAAAUCCCCGGGCUCAACCUGGGAACUGCAUUCGAAACUGGCAGGCUGGAGUCUUGUAGAGGGGGGUAGAAUUCCAGGUGUAGCGGUGAAAUGCGUAGAGAUCUGGAGGAAUACCGGUGGCGAAGGCGGCCCCCUGGACAAAGACUGACGCUCAGGUGCGAAAGCGUGGGGAGCAAACAGGAUUAGAUACCC